RNAcentral lists this ribosomal RNA (253 nucleotides) under uncultured bacterium. RNAcentral describes it as "partial 16S ribosomal RNA". It matches the Rfam family "Bacterial small subunit ribosomal RNA", at positions 524 to 776 of the family's 1533-position model. The record is from RNAcentral.
UACGUAGGCAGCAAGCGUUGUUCGGAGUUACUGGGCGUAAGGGUGCGUAGGCGGCUUCUUAAGUCUGGUGUGAAAUCUCCCGGCUCAACUGGGAGGGUGCGCCGGAUACUGAGGGGCUAGGAGUGUGGGAGAGGAAAGUGGAAUUCCUGGUGUAGCGGUGAAAUGCGUAGAUAUCAGGAGGAACACCGGUGGUGUAAACGGCUUUCUGGACCAUAACUGACGCUGAGGCACGAAAGCGUGGGUAGCAAACAGG